This 635-nucleotide ribosomal RNA is filed under the name Aphyllon californicum. Its description in RNAcentral is "eukaryotic LSU rRNA". The stretch from base 242 to 397 matches the Rfam family "5.8S ribosomal RNA". The record is from RNAcentral. Lineage: Eukaryota; Viridiplantae; Streptophyta; Magnoliopsida; Lamiales; Orobanchaceae.
UUUCCGUAGGUGAACCUGCGGAAGGAUCAUUGUCGAAACCUGCCAAAGUAGACUGUGAAAACGUAAUCACAUUGGGAUUGUGUUGUGCUGAAAAGCCACAUCAUGGUCUCCUCCCACAUGUGCGCACUUUGUGGGCUAACGAACCCCGGCACAGCAUGUGCCAAGGAAAACUCAAUGAAACCUCUGCCCCAUGUCGCCCCGUUUGCGGUUAGCGAUUGGGGAUGUCUCUCAAUGUCAAAACGACUCUCGGCAACGGAUAUCUCGGCUCUCGCAUCGAUGAAGAACGUAGCGAAAUGCGAUACUUGGUGUGAAUUGCAGAAUCCCGUGAACCAUCGAGUCUUUGAACGCAAGUUGCGCCCAAAGCCAUUCGGCCAAGGGCACGUCUGCCUGGGCGUCACGCAUCUCAUCAACCCUCUUUCCGUUCGUGGAUAUUGGCCUCCUGUGCACGAUGAUGUACAGCUGGCCCAAAUUUGAUCCUGCGGCGACUCAUGUCACGACAAGUGGUGGUUGAUUACUCAACUCUCGUGUUGUUGUGUCGGGGGUUGCUUGGAGGGUUAUGUUUAGACCCAAUGGUGUGAGCCUCUUAUGCCUUCGAAUGAGACCCCAGGUCAGGCGGGAUUACCCGCUGAGUUUAA